RNAcentral lists this small RNA (101 nucleotides) under Streptococcus canis. Its description in RNAcentral is "SpF25_sRNA". It matches the Rfam family "Streptococcus sRNA SpF25". Lineage: Bacteria; Bacillati; Bacillota; Bacilli; Lactobacillales; Streptococcaceae. The record is from RNAcentral.
ACAUGAGAUAGCCUUUCUAAGAUGUUUUUGUCAACUCUAUUUUACCAAGACUAUCUCAGAUAAGCAAAAAGCAACGGUAUCAUUUCCGUUGCUUUUUGUCU